Molecule: non-coding RNA, 690 nt
Organism: Camellia sinensis
Lineage: Eukaryota; Viridiplantae; Streptophyta; Magnoliopsida; Ericales; Theaceae
Source: RefSeq, a predicted model, not a curated record
ACUCUCUCACUCACUCUCUGGGUUCUCUCUCUCUCUCUCUCUCUCUCUCUCUCUCUCUCAACCCUCUCUAAACCCUAAUCUCUCUCAACCGAUCGAAUCAACCUUCUUCAGCCCCAUUUGAUCUAAUCUCAGAGCGAUUGGUGAUUCAUCUCAGAUCCAAUCUCAGAGCAAUUGGCAAUUUCGAUUUUGAGAUUUCGAAGCUCUACCGCCUACACCAUUUGCACCGACGAGGGGAGCAAGCACCAUCAUCUACUAAGGUUUUCUAUUAUUGGCAAGGGUAAUAGCUGUGACAUUCUGUGUAACCUUAGCAACAUCAUUGGCUGCAAGACUCGGUGCAACACCUAUGGCUGCAUUUCAGAUUUGCUUACAGGUCUGGAUGACCUCGUCGCUUCUUUCUGAUGGUUUGGCUAUUGCUGGACAGUUAUGGCCACGUGCUGUUCUUUUUAAUUUUUCCCCUUUCGAAUAUUUGGGAGAAAUUCUUCUAUUUAAUCAGGGAAGACAAUGCUAUCAUUGCUUGUGCGUUUGCUGAGAAGGAUUAUGAGAAAGCAAAAGUUGUUGCAGCGCGAGUGUUGCAGGUAAACCAUUUUCCAAUUCUUAGUGUACAAAUCGUUCUCUCAACAAACGCAAUUGUUUUGAUACCCUCUUCAAUUUUCAUUAUACAAAGCCUAAACAUGUUUGAGAGGUUUUAUU